UAAGGCAUCGGAACGUACCCUUUUGUCUGGGAUAGCCUCGGGAAACUGGGUGUAAUACCGGAUGAUCUCUUCGGAGCAAAGGUCCGCCGCGAAAGGAGCGGCCGAUGUGAGGCUAGGUAGUUGGUGAGGUAACGGCUCACCAAGCCCAAGAUCUCUAGGGGGUGUGAGAGCAUGGCCCCCACCACUGGAACUGAGACACUGUCCAGACACCUACGGGUGGCUGCAGUCGAGAAUCUUCGGCAAUGGGCGCAAGCCUGACCGAGCGACGCUGCGUGCGGGAUGAAGGCCCUUGGGUUGUAAACCGCUGUCAGGGGGGAUGAAAGCUUCGGCUUGACAGAGCCCCAGAGGAAGCGCGGGCUAAGUUCGUGCCAGCAGCCGCGGUAAUACGAACUGCGCAAACGUUAUUCGGAGUCACUGGGCUUACAGGGUGCGUAGGCGGCCCACCAGGUCAGAUGUGAAAUCCCACAGCUCAACUGUGGAACGGCAUUUGAAACCGGCGGGCUUGAGUGAACUAGAGGUACACGGAACUUCAGGUGGAGCGGUGAAAUGUGUUGAGAUCUGAAGGAACACCAGAGGCGAAAGCGGUGUACUGGAGUUCGUCUGACGCUGAGGCACGAAA
Molecule: ribosomal RNA, 619 nt
Filed under: uncultured bacterium
Lineage: Bacteria
Description: bacterial SSU rRNA
Rfam family: Bacterial small subunit ribosomal RNA
Source: RNAcentral